RNAcentral lists this ribosomal RNA (253 nucleotides) under uncultured bacterium. Its description in RNAcentral is "partial 16S ribosomal RNA". It matches the Rfam family "Bacterial small subunit ribosomal RNA", at positions 524 to 776 of the family's 1533-position model. The record is from RNAcentral.
UACGGAGGUUGCAAGCGUUAUCCGGAAUUACUGGGUUUAAAGGGUGCGUAGGCGGCUUAGUAAGUCAGGGGUGAAAGGUCACGGCUCAACCGUGGAAUUGCCUUUGAUACUGCUGAGCUUGAAUCAGGAUGAGGUUGGCAGAAUGUGGCAUGUAGCGGUGAAAUGCAUAGAUAUGCCAUAGAACACCGAUUGCGAAGGCAGCUGGCUAGACCUUGAUUGACGCUGAGGCACGAAAGCGUGGGGAGCGAACAGG